This 387-nucleotide ribosomal RNA is filed under the name Centropages sp. RNAcentral describes it as "partial small subunit ribosomal RNA". It matches the Rfam family "Eukaryotic small subunit ribosomal RNA", at positions 587 to 975 of the family's 1831-position model. The record is from RNAcentral. Lineage: Eukaryota; Metazoa; Arthropoda; Copepoda; Calanoida; Centropagidae.
AGCUCCAAUAGCGUAUAUUAAAGUUGUUGUGGUUAAAAAGCUCGUAGUUGGAUUUCGGCGGGUAUUGGUUGGUUUGAAUUGCUUCAACACUGACUUUUUUACCCGUGUGUUUUGCCAGAAUUUAGCGGGUGAUCUUCGCCGAUUGUCCGUUGGAACUGGUAGGUUUACUUUGAAAAAAUUAGAGUGCUCAAAGCAAGCUUACUGCUUGAAUAGUUGCGCAUGGAAUAAUAGAAUAGGAAGUCGUUUCUAUUUUGUUGGUUUUCGGAAAUCGACUUAAUGAUUAAUAGGGAUAGUCGGGGGCAUUCGUAUUCAAACGACAGAGGUGAAAUUCUUGGACCGUUUGAAGACGAACUAAGGCGAAAGCAUUUGCCAAGAAUGUUUUCAUUA